RNAcentral lists this ribosomal RNA (274 nucleotides) under uncultured bacterium. RNAcentral's name for it is "partial 16S ribosomal RNA". It matches the Rfam family "Bacterial small subunit ribosomal RNA", at positions 523 to 796 of the family's 1533-position model. The record is from RNAcentral.
AUACGUAGGGGGCAAGCGUUGUCCGGAUUUACUGGGUAUAAAGGGAGCGCAGGCGGAUUCGUAAGUCAGGGGUGAAAUCCUACAGCUUAACUGUAGAACUGCCUUUGAUACUGCGAGUCUUGAGAUCGGAAGAGAGAGAUGGAAUUCCAGGUGUAGUGGUGAAAUACGUAGAUAUCUGGAAGAACACCAAUGGCGAAGGCAGUCUCUUGGUCCGUAUCUGACGCUGAGGCUCGAAAGCGUGGGGAGCAAACAGGAUUAGAUACCCCGGUAGUCC